Molecule: non-coding RNA, 196 nt
Filed under: Deltaproteobacteria bacterium RBG_16_44_11
Lineage: Bacteria; Deltaproteobacteria
Description: 6S RNA
Rfam family: 6S / SsrS RNA
About the family: E. coli 6S RNA was the first non coding RNA to be sequenced, but its function was unknown until recently. It consists of 184 nucleotides that fold into an extended hairpin structure with a large single-stranded internal bulge. The 6S RNA specifically associates with RNA polymerase holoenzyme containing the sigma70 specificity factor.
Source: RNAcentral
UUGCCCCUGCGAUGUGCGUGAUUAACAUUUGUUUUUGAGCCAACAUUUUGAACCUGGGGCCUAUUCUUGUUUGCGGUGAGCAGGUCAGCCUUUUUUCCGCUGGUCGGAAGGCAGAAAGCCUAAUGCAACCAAUACCGGGCGCCCACUUUAUAAAAAGGUUCAAAAAGGUGAUUAACACGGCAUAGGCGGGGGUUUU